Molecule: long non-coding RNA, 581 nt
Organism: Tupaia belangeri chinensis (Chinese tree shrew)
Lineage: Eukaryota; Metazoa; Chordata; Mammalia; Scandentia; Tupaiidae
Exons: 3
Source: RefSeq, a predicted model, not a curated record
GCAACAAAGUAGCAGAGCCCAACACAUGGGGUAGAUUGUGGGAAAGAAGGGCCCCAGCACCCAGAUAUUUGAAAAAUAGGAAACACAGACAGCCAAGGGUGAGAAGAACUGCCCAGCCAAUUACAAGCGAGGUCUGACAAAUCCCUGCACACUUCCAUGAUACCAUGCGAUUUCUUUGUGUCACUUACAGCACUGGCACCCAGUAGAUACCCCGCGCACAGCAGCACACAGUGUGGAUUCCAGAGAAGAGAAAAGGAAGACAAGAUGCACAAUCUCAACAGAUGAAGCAGCUACAGUGGGCUUCUCUAGACCAAUGCUUCUUAAACUUCCACAUGGCAUCUAAAUCUCCAGGAAAUCUUGUUAAAACACACAUUUUGAUUCAGUAGGUCUGGGAAAGGAACUUAAUACACAAGAGUGAGCACUGUGGCCCUAUGGUGUGUCAUUCCAGGUCCCUUUCCUCAAUACCUCAUUGCACCCCUCCCAAAGAUCCUGACCUCAGGCAAUCUGAAGAGGAAGGCUAUGUUGAGCAUGACCAAAACUUUGCACAGAAAAGGGAAGAUAGACUUGCCAUUGAAGAGCCU